UACCUGCAGCUCAAGUGGUGACCAUUAUUAUUGGGCCUAAAACGUCCGUAGCCGGCUUAGUAAAUGCCUGGGUAAAUCGUGUAGCUUAACUAUACGAAUUCCGGGUAGACUGCUAAGCUUGAGACCGGGAGAAGCUAGAGGUACUCCUGGGGUAGAGGUGAAAUUCUGUAAUCCUAGGGGGACCACCAGUGGCGAAGGCGUCUAGCUAGAACGGAUCUGACGGUGAGGGACGAAGCCCUGGGGCACAAACCGGAUUAGAUACCCGGGUAGUCCAGGGUGUAAACGCUGCUUGCUUGAUGUUAGUUGGGCUCCGAGCCCAACUAGUGUCGGAGAGAAGUUGUUAAGCAAGCUGCCUGGGAAGUACGGUCGCAAGGCUGAAACUUAAAGGAAUUGGCGGGGGAGCACAGCAACGGGUGGAGCGUGCGGUUU
RNAcentral lists this ribosomal RNA (429 nucleotides) under uncultured archaeon. RNAcentral describes it as "bacterial SSU rRNA". It matches the Rfam family "Archaeal small subunit ribosomal RNA", at positions 474 to 903 of the family's 1478-position model. The record is from RNAcentral.